RNAcentral lists this ribosomal RNA (460 nucleotides) under uncultured bacterium. Its description in RNAcentral is "partial 16S ribosomal RNA". It matches the Rfam family "Bacterial small subunit ribosomal RNA", at positions 338 to 795 of the family's 1533-position model. The record is from RNAcentral.
CCUACGGGAGGCAGCAGUGAGGAAUAUUGGACAAUGGGCUUACGCCUGAACCAGCCAAGUCGCGUGAGGGAAGAAUUCCCUAUGGGUUGUAAACCUCUUUUGUCAGGGAGCAAUUGACGCUACGUGUAUCGUUAGCGAGAGUACCUUAAGAACAAGCAUCGGCUAACUCCGUUCCAGGAGCCGCGUUAAUACGGAGGAUGCGAGGGUUAUCCGGAUUUGUUGGGGUUACAGGGUGCGUAGGCGGAAUGCGAAGUCAGCGGUAAAAUCGCGGGGCUCAACCUCGCUCCGCUGUUGAAACUGGCGUUCUUGAGUGGGCGAGAAGUAUGCGGAAUGCGUGGUGUAGCGGUGAAAUGCAUAGAUAUCACGCAGAACUCCGAUUGCGAAGGCAGCAUACCGGCGUCCAACUGACGCUGAAGCACGAAAGCGUGGGUAGCGAACAGGAUUAGAUACCCUAGUAGUC